CCCUUACGCUCGUGGGAGUAAGCCUGGGAAACUGGGUCUAAUACCGGAUAUGACUCCAUGACGCAUGUUGUGGGGUGGAAAGCCUUGUGCGGCUAGGGAUGGGCCCGCGGCCUAUCAGCUUGUUGGUGGGGUGAUGGCCUACCAAGGCGACGACGGGUAGCCGGCCUGAGAGGGCGACCGGCCACACUGGGACUGAGACACGGCCCAG
Molecule: ribosomal RNA, 208 nt
Filed under: uncultured bacterium
Lineage: Bacteria
Description: partial 16S ribosomal RNA
Rfam family: Bacterial small subunit ribosomal RNA
Source: RNAcentral